UAUGUGAUCGUCUCUCGCAUAUCAAUAAGCGGAGGAAAAGAAACUAACAAGGAUUCCCCUAGUAACGGCGAGUGAAGCGGGAAGAGCUCAAAUUUGAAAUCUUAAAGGGUUUCCCUUUACGAAUUGUAGUUUAAAGAAGUGUUUUCUGUUGAGGUUUUGGUAAAAGUUCUUUGGAAUAGGACAUCAUAGAGGGUGAGAAUCCCGUAUUUGACCUUUACUUUCAACUUUGUGAUACACUUUCAAAGAGUCGGAUUGUUUGGGAAUGCAGUCCAAAAUGGGUGGUAAAUUUCAUCUAAAGCUAAAUAUUGGCGAGAGACCGAUAGCGAACAAGUACCGUGAGGGAAAGAUGAAAAGAACUUUGAAAAGAGAGUUAAACAGUACGUGAAAUUGUCAAAAGGGAAGCGUUUGACACCAGUGUUGUUUUUCUGAAAAUCAAUUAAAGAACUGUUUAUGCUAAGCUGUUUAGACUUUAUCAGCUAUCUGUUUAGUUUUAGGCUUUUCUUUAAUGCACUUUUCAGUUAACAAGUCAACAUCAAUUUCUUUUGCUGUAAAAAAGCUUGAGGAAGGUGGCUUGAGAUUCGUCUUAAGUGUUUAUAGCCUCUUGCCUAUGCAGUCGGAGAGAUUGAGGUCUGCAGCGUAGAUCCUUCGGGGCUAAAUGCAUUUGUGCUAAGUUAUAGCAUUUUAUAGACAACUUGUUGACUAUGAUUUGUCUUGUAGCUUACUCGCUUAUGUUAUUUUACCUACGCUUAGGAUGUUGAUCUACAGAGCGAGAGU
RNAcentral lists this ribosomal RNA (774 nucleotides) under uncultured Neocallimastigales. Its description in RNAcentral is "partial large subunit ribosomal RNA". It matches the Rfam family "Eukaryotic large subunit ribosomal RNA", at positions 24 to 635 of the family's 3401-position model. Lineage: Eukaryota; Fungi; Neocallimastigomycota; Neocallimastigomycetes; Neocallimastigales. The record is from RNAcentral.